AUACGGAGGGUGCAAGCGUUACUCGGAAUCACUGGUCGUAAAGCGCGCGCAGUCGGCUAUUUAAGUUGGAUGUGAAAGCCUACGGCUCAACCUUAGAACUGCAUCCAAAACUAUUUAGCUAGAGUGUGGGAGAGGAAGAUGGAAUUAGUUGUGUAGGGGUAAAAUCCGUAGAGAUAACUAGGAAUACCAAAAGCGAAGGCAAUCUUCUGGAACACUACUGACGCCGAGGCGCGAAAGCGUAGGGAGCAAACAGGAUUAGAAGCCCUAGUAGUCC
This 274-nucleotide ribosomal RNA is filed under the name uncultured bacterium. RNAcentral's name for it is "partial 16S ribosomal RNA". It matches the Rfam family "Bacterial small subunit ribosomal RNA", at positions 523 to 796 of the family's 1533-position model. The record is from RNAcentral.